CUCACAUCACUAGCAAGGAUCUCUGAUUGGCUGGGUUAUACGAAUAGUGUUCUGAUUGGCCAGCUUCAGCAUGGACUCCCACCCCUUGGUUGACAUGGAUCUCGAGAAGCAGCUGGCUUGGAGGAGGGGCCGUUUCCCGAAGAGAGGACCCAGAGACAGACGGCAUAAGACUAUUCUCUAGAAUCAUCUUAAGGGAAUAUAGCAAGUGAAGACACAUUCAUAGAAGAAACUCGAUUAAAUCUCAGGAAGGACAGCAAGAGUGUGUGGUAUCUGAGCCAUGACCUGCUCCCUCCUCCUUCCCCAGCUCUGUGGGAUGGAAACUUUCCUACAGGUGCCCCUCACUGAUGACCGCACUGCCAUUUCUGCAGGCUUCAAGACUGAAAAUCUCAGUACCACCUCUGACUCCUACAGCUCCCUCAUUGAUGGGGCCAUCUUGGACAAGAUGCUGCCUUCAAGGCUCCCAAGAGGGACAGCAACAGUAGAGGAAGCCAGAGUCCCUGAGAGCAUGCAUCACACCGACUAUGGGCAGCCUGCCCACCUUUUCAUGUUUCUUACUUGGAAGAUGGACUUCUCCUUCAUUUUGAGUGCUACUUAAUUCCCAAGCUUUCAUCCAUUCCAUACUUCUUCCCUUUGUGAUCGCUGGAGACAGGAUAGUUUCCCCCCACUGACAGAGGCUGCCUGGAAACUGUUUUGGAAAAGCAAGCAAUUUCUGGCUUCCCACAGAAGCUCCUAUCCCCGAAAGGUAUUUCCAACCACAUUUCUACUUCCAAGAGGGCCCUGAGGACAGCAAGAGCUCUUCCC
RNAcentral lists this long non-coding RNA (801 nucleotides) under Mustela putorius furo (domestic ferret). Its description in RNAcentral is "lncRNA (ENSMPUG00000030688.1)". The record is from RNAcentral. Lineage: Eukaryota; Metazoa; Chordata; Mammalia; Carnivora; Mustelidae.